UGCUUUAGUUCUGGUCGAAGGUUUUCUGAAUGAGAUGUUAAACCGAGGACUUAUCUGGGCUCUUGCACUUUAUUUAUCUGCCUGCACUGCACUUUCUUUGUAACUGCGUCACUAUAUUCUACAUUUCAAUUUCUUUUGGUUUUGAAUACAUGGCACGAUCUAUUGAACAUAGAACAUUCCAGCACAGUACAGGUCCUUCAGCCCACAACGUUGUGCUGAGCUUUUAACCCACUCUAAGACUAAUCUAACUCUUCCUUCCCACAGUGCUCUGCGCACUCACUCUACGCAUCAUCUUAUACACUUCUAUCAAAUCACCUCCAUUCCAGAGAAAGGCUCCAGCUUGCUCAACCUUUCCUCAUAAGACAUGGGUUCAGACAGCAUCCUGGUAAAUCUCCUUUGCACUGUUUCUAAAGUUCUCACAUCCUUCUUAUAAUGCCACUAGAUCUGAGCUCGGUACUCCAUGUGUGGUCUAACCACGGUGGGAUGCAAAACAAAAGCUCUUUCACCUUUCUCUUUCACCCAUGGUCCACUCUCAUCUCUUACCAGAUCCCUUCUUCUUCAGAUCUUUACCUCUUCCACUUAUCACUUCCCAGCUUCUUACUUUAUUCCCCCCCCCCACCCAUCUUUCAAUUUGUACUCCUUUCCUUCCCCCCAUCUUCUUACUGUGGCUUCUUCUCCCUUCCCUUCCAGUCCUGAUUGAGGGUCUCGGCCUGAAACAUCGACCUUUUAUUCCUCUCCAUAGAUGCUGCCUGACAUACAAUUUGUGUGUUUGUCUGUUCUGGAUUUCCAGCAUCUGCAGAAUCUCUUGUGAUUAUUAUUUCAUUGUAUGCAUGUAGAUAUAAUAAACCAAUUUUGCUUUCUCAGGUAAUAUAGAUGAGAUAUAUAAACUCCUUAGACAGGCAUGAGGGAGUCUAUCUCCUCUAUAUUUAACUCAAUAAAAUCAAUUAUCUAGUCAUUAACACACAGCUGUUUGUGGAAACUUGUUGUGAACAAAUUGGCUGCCACAUUUUGUACCUAAGUACUCAACACUUCAAAAAGUACCACAUUCAUAAUAGCAUCUCUUAUGAUGUCCUUUGGUGUGAAAGGAAUGUGCGUUCUUUUUUCACUGGCCGCUGUUCAAAGCUGCAAAAAAGAUGUUUACUUUCCGCUGACUGCACGGCUCCUGUUCAAAAUGCGCUUAGCAGUUUCAAUGAAGCUUCUGGUGGACAGAAAGCCGACAAUACUUAAUACAUCUGAUUUGGCACCAGAUUAACAAACCCAUUCAGAGCAGCGACAGCAUGCCUAUUGUAAGAGGCGCUCAGAGUCGAGGCCGAAGCAAAUUGGUGGAGUGGGGCAAGGGAAAUUUAAUCUGGCCCAUUAUAUGGAGUUAUAUCUAACCACGUUACACCUGACCCAAGAGCACUUAAAUCCUGUCGCCAAGGCCCCAGGAAUUCCAGAGGUAGAGAGGGAGUUCUGUUCAUGCUAUUCACAGUCAGUUUUUGCUGUCUGCACCUCAAAUUUCCAGAUUUAAAAAAAGGACUUGCAUAUUACCUGAAAGAUUGAUUCCCUGGAGCAUUGGUAUAAAAAAUCAUGAGUGUUUGAUAACUCUGGGCCUUUACUUGCUGGUUUAGAAGAAUGAGCAGGGGAUCUCAGUGAGACCUAUCGAAUAUGGAAAGGGCAAAAUAGAGUGAAUGUGGAGAGUAUGUUUCCUAUAUUAUGGGAGUCUAGAACAAGAAGGCACAGAUUCAGAAUAGAGGAUGUCCAAUUAGAACAGAGAUGAGGAGGAAUUUCUUUAGCCAGAGGGUGGUGAAUCUGUGGAAUUCAUUGCCACAUAUGACUGUGGAGGCCAAGUCAUUGGAUAUAUUUAAAGUGGAGGUUGAUAGGUUCUUGAUUAUACAACACAUCAAAAGUUAUAUGGAGAAAGCAGAAUGGGGUUGAGAGGGAUAAUAAUCAGCCAUGAUGGAAUGACAGAGCACACUUGAUGGGCUGAAUGGCCCAAUUCUGCUCCUGUGUCUUAUGAUCUUAUGGAGAAGAUGAGUUGUGGAAUUCUUAAAAAUGAGUCCAUAAGUUGUGGAAUUAGUGCAGAGUAGUGGUGAGUCCCCAUAUUCUACAACUAACCAACACUCUAGGGGUUAUUUACUGUAGCCUCAUAAGCUGUUUUAAAUAGUGGGAGAGUCCGGGACCAGAGAGCACUGCCUGAGAAUACAAGGAUGUCUCUUUAGGAUAGAGAUGAGCAGGAUUUUCUUCAGCCAGAGGGCUGUAAAUCUGUAGAAUUCAUUGCGACAGAUACCUGUGGAGGCCAAGUAAUUGGGUAUAUUUAAAGCAGUUGAUAGGUUCUUGAUUAACAAAUGCACCAAUUUUAAUUAUUUAUUUAUUGAGAUACAAUAGGCCCUUCCAGCCCUUUGAGCCAUGCCGCCCAGCAACUCCAGAUUUAAUCCUAGCACAAUCAUGGGAUAAAUUUACAAUGACCAAUUAACCUACCAACCGGUGUGUAUUUGGACUAUGGGAGGAAACCAGUGCACCCAGAGGAAAUGCACACAGUCACAGAGGGAACAUGCAAACUCCCUACAGGCAGUGGCGGGAAUUAAACCUGGGUCGCUGGUAUUGUCUAGUGUUGUGCUAACCACUACGUUAUCAUGGGGAGAAGGCAGGAGAAUGGGGUUGAGAGGGGUAAUAAAGCAGCCAUGUUGGAAUGGCAGAGCAGAUUCGAUGGGUGAAUCUCCAAUGUCUUAUGAGCAUAUGAUCUUAUGAGGGGUAUAAACAGGAUAAAUGCAAGCAGGUCUUUUCCCCUGAGGUUGGGUGAAACCAGGACUAGGGACCAGAGAUUAAGGAAGAAAAAUGAACUAUUUAAGGGGAAUCUGAGGAGAAACCUCUUCACUCAAAGGGUGGCUGAAGUAUGAGCAGCCAGCAGAAAUGGUGGAUGUGGGUUUGAUUGCAACAAUUAAGAGUUUGGAUAAAUAGUGAUGGGAAAGGUAUGGAAGGCUGUGGUCCAGGUGUGGGUCAAUGCAAAUAAAAAGGUCAAAGAGCCCAGUUUAGUGCUGUAGUGCCAUAUGAUUCUAAGACUUUUUGGCUUGUACCUAUCACCGAAAUUCCUCAUUUUGCUGAGCAAAUGUUUUUCACUUCAGACAUGUACUUGCUUGUGAAAUGUAGUGAGGUCAUGGUUCAGAAAUGGGAGACUUUCGACCCAUCAGCCUCAAUCGGAUCACAGCCGUGACAAAGCAGAAAUUGUCUUUGUGGAAGCCAUAAAUCGCAAGAGUGGUUUAUAACCAUUGCCAAAUUCUUGAGAGUUCAUGACUCUUCCAAAGCAGUUCUAGGCACUAUUCAUUGAUUUUAUAAUGCAAAGGGCAUCAUUUAAGGAAUUAUAAAAAUCCCACCAUGUGAUCAAUUUCAAAUCCUUUCAAUGGUUUUGAUAUAAAAUGGAAAAGAUCUCAUAAGAAUUGUUUAAAUGUUUUAAGGUUUCACAUGUAAGAUUGGCACUGAAUCCAGAAAUCUAUAUUAAGACAUACAUAGUGAUAAGCCCUUACAAAACUCCUUAAAUGAGUAAAAGCACAAGACUAUAAGACAUAGGAACAGAAUUAGGCCAUUCAGCCCAUUGAGUCUGCUCCACCAUUCCAUCAUGGCUGAUUUAUUAUCCCUCUCAACCCCAUUUUCUGACUUCUCCCUGUAACUUUUGAUGCACUGAUUAAUCAAGAAUCUAUCAAUCUUAGAUUUACAGAUCAGGACAGAUUUACCCCGAUCUGAGAGCUACUGCUGUAACUGCGUUAUGCUACUGUGCCACUGUCACUGGUCAGUUUAACAGUUCAGGCAAUGUAAUGUUCUUUCACUGCUGCUCGAAGAGGUCGGGCGAGAUCAUAGUGCAUAAGCUUUUAACUUGGUGCUAACUUAGUUCAGAGCUUUUUACUCAUUGGCACGAUUUCGCUGUUGCCAGCAAGGUUAGCAUUUAACAAUUAUAGUUAAUUUACACUUGGGAAGGUGACAGGGAUCAUCUUCCUUCACCAUUGUAGAUCUCUGGUGAUUAGCAGCUCCGGGAUCGUGAUCUAGCGACAAUGAGCGAAUGGUAGUGUAUUCUGUCAGGAAUGUGGGAGGAGACUGAAGCAUCUGGAGGAAACCCAAGUAGUCGCAGAGAAAACGUACAAACUCCUUAUGGACAAUGGUGGGAAUUGAAUCCCAGCUGCUGAUUGCUGGCACUGUAAUAGCAUUACGUUAACUGCUAUGCUACUGUGCCACUGAAUUCACCUUUAGUGUACAAGUGGUUCAUUUAAGAGUCCUACAACAGCAGGAUAGAAACAAGUGAUGCAUGUCACUCUACUGUAUGUGUUGGAUUAGACUGUGUAAUUGUAAUUUCCUUUGCAGCUUAACAAUUGUUCAAAGUUCAAAGUACAUUUUAUUAUCAAGUACAUAUAUGUCACCAUGUACAAGAUUCUUUUUCUUAUCAGCAUACAAAUCUAUAGAAUAGUAACUAUAACAGAAUCAAUGAAAGACUGCCCACCUACUAGGGUGUACAACCAGAGUACAGAACACAAUAAACUGUGCAAAUGCAAAUGUAAAUAAGUAGCAAUAAAUAUCGGGAACAUGAGAUUAAGAAUCCUUGAAAGUAGAUCUAUUGGUUGUGGGAACAUUUCAAUAAUGGGGCAAGUGAAGUUGAGUGGAGUUAUCACCUUUUGUUCAAGAACCUGAUGGUUGAGGGUUAGUAACUGUUCUUGAAUCUGAUGGUGUGAGUCCUGAGGCUCUUCUACCUUCUUCUUAAUGGCAGCAGGGAGAAGGAAGCAUGACCUGGGUGGGGAUCCCUGAUGACGGACACUGCUUUCCCACAGCAGUGUUUCACGUAGGUGUGCUCAAUGUUUGUGAGAGCUCUACCUGUGAUAACCUUCUUGUAUUUUAUAUAACUACUUAUAUACUUAUGUAACUGUUUAGUAUAUUACCUAGUAGUCACAGUAUGUAUAUGCAAUUGUUCAGUAUGUUCCUGAGUGGUUACAGUUCUUUAUAUCAUUCUAGAAAGCCCCAAAAUCUUCUGUUAUUGCAUUAUUUGUAGAGGGGUUAUUUGAUUGAUUAACUCUUAACUAUGAAUUUGAAUAUAAUGUUUCUCAUCUAUGGUGUAUACAAAAGGUUGACCAUGUUGGUCCACCAUCUUUUUCCUUAGUCUUUCUGUUCUCUGUUCUUAGCUACCAGUCUUUUGCAGUUCUACAUUUCCAAAUCUCUUUGUUCUCUUUGCAAUAAAACAAUCAUGGUACAACAAGUGUUCUGGCUCUUUCCCGACAUCCAAAAGAGCACUGAAUCAAAUACAUCAGAAUCCAACAAUUGUGUCCGAGAGCUUGGUGGUGAGACGAAAGAACGUCUGAGGUGGAAGGGGUCUUUGAUUAAGAACAGUUCAACACAGGAACAGGCCCUUCAGCCCACUCCACAAUGUUGUGCCAAACCAGCUAAAAAGUAAAUUAAACAAUCCCCAGAGCUAAUCUCACCUACCUACAUAGUGUAUAGAACAGCUGGUUGCUUCACCAAGGCAGCUUGAAUACUCUAAUCAGACACAGGGUUUGAGUGUCUAAUGUGAUACAAACCAGUGCGUGAACACUGUAUGUCAAUAGUACUCACAAAUAUCCAGCAUAGAUGGAGGUUUAUGCUGCUCAAGGGUUAAAGUGGGGGUAAGAGGAAUGUCAUUCCAGGGAAUCUUCCCCUACUUCUGCCAGGCAGACUUAUAAUUCAACUAAGCCAGAAAUCAAAUUUUUGUUUUGUGCUGUAUCUAGGAAUGCAGAUCCAUAAUUCAAUAAGAGUUGCGUCACAGGUAGAUAGGGUUGUAAAGAGAGCCUUUGGCACAUUGGCCUUCAUAAAUCAGAGUAUUGAGCAGAUGCUGGAAACCCAAGCAACACACACAAAAUGCUGGAGGAUCUCAGCAGGUCAGGCAGCAUUUAUGGAAAAAAGUACAGUUAAUGUUUUAGGCCGAAACCCUUUGGCAGGACUGGAGAAAAAAAGCUUAAGCUGAGGAGUAGAUUUGAAAGGUGGUGGGAGAAGAGAAAGAAAACCAGAGAGAGGGGAGAGAAAAAACCAGAGAGAGGGGAGGAGUUGGCUUGUUAUGUUGAAGAUGUUUAAGAUGAUGGUGAAGCCUAAUUUUAAGUACUAUGUGCAGUUCUGGUCACCUGUCUACAGAAGUGAUGUAAGAAAGAUUGAAAGGGUGCAGAGAAAAUUUACAAGGAUGUUACUGGGUCUUGAGGACCUGAGUUACAGGCUAGAUUGAAUAGGUUAGGACUUUAUUCCCUAGAGCAGAGGAGAAUGAAGGGCCAUUUGACAGAGGUGUACAAAAUGAUGAGGGUUAUAGAUAGGAUAAAUAAAAGCUGGCUUUUUCCACUGAAGUUGGGUGAGACAGAACUAGAGGUCAUAGGUUAAGGGUGAAAGGUGAAAUGUUGAAGGAGAACAUGAGGGGAAACUCAGAAGGUGGUGCAAAUAUGGAACAAGCUGCCAGCCGAAGUGAUGGAAGUGUGUUUGUUUUCAACAUUUAAGAGAAGCUGGAUAAAUACACCAGCAAGAGGUGAGCAGUGGUCUAGGUACAGGUUGAUGGGACUAGGCAGAAUUAUAUUUCAGCACAGACUAGAUGGGCCAAAGGGCCUGUUUCUGUGCUGUAGUACUCUAUGAUUUGGUGGGUAUGGGUAAGAAGUGGGUAAAAGUGAAGAGCACAGCACUUUGAUUUCUCUGCAGCUUACUAGUUUAUUGGAGGGUAACACAUCAUUUAUAUCGACAUUUUAUUAAACUAUAGCAAACUUGAUGCUUAUACAGAUGAGAAAGUAUCUCAUAUCAAUGAUAGGGCACACUGAAGAACAGCAGAUAACAGGUAAAUUGAUUCUGCCCUGUGUCAACAAGGCAGAGGGCCAUAAGAGACUCCAGCAGCUCAUUCAACCCACAGUCUGUGCUGCCUUUCCAUCAUGGCUGAAAUAUUAUCCCUCUCAUCCUCAUUCUUCUGCCUUCUCAGAAUCAUCAGAACACCUCAGUAAAACAUCCAGCACAAUCAACGAUCAUCACACAUUAAAUGCUGGAGGACCUCAACAGGGUAGGAAGCAGCCUACUAUCAAAAACAUGUACAGUAAGGUGCCGGAAAAGGGCCACAUCACCACUCGUUAUGGAGACUGCACUGCAAACAGAAAGGCUCUACAAUAGGUUGACAGCUGGCUGACGUUAUUUUUGGUUUGCUGCUGGCGGCAAAUUUAAGUUUGGCGUUUUUCAUAAAUACAAGAAGGACUCAAAUAGACGUUGAGUAUUUUACUUAAAAGUAACCUUCAACCCAACGUCUUUUUUUCGGAGUUCAAAAUGUUUUUGUUGCAUGCAGAAAUGUAAUUUCGUUUUCUCUGCAGGAGUUCAUCAAUUUCAUAAAUGCAACACAUUAUAGUUUGUUUAUACAUAGCAUAAAGGCAAAACAAAACGUUGUAUGCAGUGUUAUUUCAUUUUAAAUGUCAAACGGGUUUUGCGGCUCCCAGUGUUUUCUUUUCUGUGGGAAACGGGUCCAAGUGGCUCUUUCAGUGGUAAAGGUUGCUGACCCCUGGACCAGGGUCUAUCACAUCUACAUUCAAGAGUGGUUUCCCACAGUUAAUUAGAAACUAAGUACAUAGAACAUAAAAAGUUCAGCACAGUACAGGUCCUUCAGCCCACAAUGUUGUGGGGACCUUUUAAUCUACUUUAAUAUCACUCUAACUCUUUCCUCCCACAUAGUGCUCCAUUUUCCUAUCAUCCAUGUGUCUCUCUUAGAGUUUCCUAAUGUACUUUCCUCUAUCACCACCCUUGCCAGGGCAUUCCAUGUAUUCACCACUCUCUGUGCAAAAGACAUACCUCAGGCAUUCCCAUUAUACUUUCCUCCAAUCACCAUAAAAUGAUGUCCCCUCAUGUUAUUUCCACCCUGGAAAAAAGUCUUUGACUAUCCAUUGUACCUUUGCCUCUUAUUGUCCUGUACACUUCUAUCAAGUCAUCUCUCAUCGUCCUUCACUGCA
Hypanus sabinus (Atlantic stingray) is the source of this 7946-nucleotide long non-coding RNA. RefSeq lists it as uncharacterized. The transcript is spliced from 3 exons. The record is from RefSeq and is a predicted model, not a curated record. NCBI's taxonomy places the organism in Eukaryota, Metazoa, Chordata, Chondrichthyes, Myliobatiformes, Dasyatidae.